RNAcentral lists this long non-coding RNA (638 nucleotides) under Homo sapiens (human). Its description in RNAcentral is "HSALNT0082577". Lineage: Eukaryota; Metazoa; Chordata; Mammalia; Primates; Hominidae. The record is from RNAcentral.
UACAGAAGGACACAUACCAUAGUUUUAUGUUUGCUUAACAGUAAGUUUUGAGGCUUACACUAAGAAAACACUAUAGAACUUAUUCUAGUGUCUCAUUCUUGCAUUUGUGAGUCUGUGUGUGUGAGAGGGUGAGCGAGAAAGAAGAAACACUAUGGUAUUCCUCCAGAGACUGAAGAUAAAGAUCACUGUCAUCGAGAUUGUGGCCCAGUAGGUGAGUCAGACAAUAAAAAAUAUAAAUAUAUAUAAAAGGUAAUGUAUAUUAGCAACCACUGAAAGAAAAAUAUAAGAAGGGGAUUUAAAGUGCUGGUGUGAGUACAGGAUGCCUGUUACUUUUAGAAAAGAUGACAAAGAAGCACUUCAUUAAGAAAAGCUUCUGAGUAAAGAUUGGAAAGUGCAAGGAAAGCAGCAGCCAGAUAUUUUGGCAAAAACAGCAGUUGAGGCAGAGUGAAGGGCAUGUGCAAAGGCCCUGAGGCAAGAGCUACUUAGCAAACUGUAAAAAAUAGAUUAUGAGAUCAGAGAGGUAAUAAGGGAGAAAAUCUUCAUUAAAGACAUAGUGCAUAUACACGUAUAUUUAUUGCAGCACUAUUCACAAUAGCAAAGACUUGGAACUAACCCAAAUGUCCAUCAAUGAUAGACUG